CUCGUACUCCCUCCGUCCGGAAAUACUCGUUGAAGGAAUGGAUGUAUCUAGAUGUAUUUUAGUUCUAGAUACAUUCAUUUUUAUGCAUUUUUUCCGACAAGUAUUUCUGGACGGAGGGAGUACUAU
Molecule: non-coding RNA, 126 nt
Organism: Triticum aestivum (bread wheat)
Lineage: Eukaryota; Viridiplantae; Streptophyta; Magnoliopsida; Poales; Poaceae
Source: Rfam